CCUCCCACGUACUAGUUCUGGCCGAUUAGUGUUAGCCCACUUAUUUAUCCGUAAAUAUUUAUCAACGUCUUUUAAAGCCGCUAACUGUCGAUCUAAAUGUUGCUCCUUGGAACUCACACGCGCAUAACCGAUUUUAGCCAUUUCCAAUUCUCCUUUUGGACAGUUCUAAUGAACACUUGUAAUCCCAUUCGCUCCCCUAGCUUUCGUCCCUGGUGUAGCGGUGAAAUGCGUAGAGAUCAGGAAGAACAUCGGUGGCGAAGGCGCUCUGCUGGACCAUAACUGACACUCAGGGACGAAAGCUAGGGGAGCGAAUGGGAUUAGAUACCCCAGUAGUCCUAGCCGUAAACGAUGGAUACUAGGUGUUGUCUGUAUCGACCCGGACAGUGCCGUAGCUAACGCGUUAAGUAUCCCGCCUGGGGAGUACGCACGCAAGUGUGAAACUCAAAGGAAUUGACGGGGGCCCGCACAAGCGGUGGAGUAUGUGGUUUAAUUCGAUGCAACGCGAAGAACCUUACCAGGACUUGACAU
This 528-nucleotide ribosomal RNA is filed under the name uncultured soil bacterium. Its description in RNAcentral is "bacterial SSU rRNA". It matches the Rfam family "Bacterial small subunit ribosomal RNA", at positions 608 to 987 of the family's 1533-position model. The record is from RNAcentral.